This 684-nucleotide ribosomal RNA is filed under the name Vibrio sp. a81. RNAcentral describes it as "bacterial SSU rRNA". It matches the Rfam family "Bacterial small subunit ribosomal RNA", at positions 309 to 986 of the family's 1533-position model. Lineage: Bacteria; Pseudomonadati; Pseudomonadota; Gammaproteobacteria; Vibrionales; Vibrionaceae. The record is from RNAcentral.
CACACUGGACUGAGACACGGUCCAGACUCCUACGGGAGGCAGCAGUGGGGAAUAUUGCACAAUGGGCGCAAGCCUGAUGCAGCCAUGCCGCGUGUGUGAAGAAGGCCUUCGGGUUGUAAAGCACUUUCAGUCGUGAGGAAGGUAGUGUAGUUAAUAGCUGCAUUAUUUGACGUUAGCGACAGAAGAAGCACCGGCUAACUCCGUGCCAGCAGCCGCGGUAAUACGGAGGGUGCGAGCGUUAAUCGGAAUUACUGGGCGUAAAGCGCAUGCAGGUGGUUUGUUAAGUCAGAUGUGAAAGCCCGGGGCUCAACCUCGGAAUWGCAUUUGAAACUGGCAGACUAGAGUACUGUAGAGGGGGGUAGAAUUUCAGGUGUAGCGGUGAAAUGCGUAGAGAUCUGAAGGAAUACCGGUGGCGAAGGCGGCCCCCUGGACAGAUACUGACACUCAGAUGCGAAAGCGUGGGGAGCAAACAGGAUUAGAUACCCUGGUAGUCCACGCCGUAAACGAUGUCUACUUGGAGGUUGUGGCCUUGAGCCGUGGCUUUCGGAGCUAACGCGUUAAGUAGACCGCCUGGGGAGUACGGUCGCAAGAUUAAAACUCAAAUGAAUUGACGGGGGCCCGCACAAGCGGUGGAGCAUGUGGUUUAAUUCGAUGCAACGCGAAGAACCUUACCUACUCUUGACA